GACCCACUAGCUCAGGUGGUAGAGCACUUGACUUUUAAUCAAGGUGUCCGGAGUUCGAGUCUCCGGUGGGUCACCA
Molecule: transfer RNA, 76 nt
Filed under: Christensenella hongkongensis
Lineage: Bacteria; Bacillati; Bacillota; Clostridia; Christensenellales; Christensenellaceae
Also listed under: 7 other names
Description: Catabacter hongkongensis tRNA-Lys
Rfam family: tRNA
About the family: Transfer RNA (tRNA) molecules are approximately 80 nucleotides in length. Their secondary structure includes four short double-helical elements and three loops (D, anti-codon, and T loops).
Source: RNAcentral